CACGAUGUAGAGGCUCGACGCGACGAGUAGUGCGAGAUACCGCUUCAAGCUGAUCGGCAUGCCGCCUUCCUGGGUCCGGCGUAGUCUCGUCAUGAUCGUCACGAUACCUUUCCAGCCCUUAGCAGCGCGUGGUGAGACGCUGAAUCAAUUGAAUUGGGAAGCGGGUGCCGAACAGGACCGACUACGCAUCAAGAGUGAAGCCCAGUCCGCGUCCGACGAAAGCGAUGGUAUUG
RNAcentral lists this unclassified non-coding RNA (233 nucleotides) under plant metagenome. RNAcentral's name for it is "partial contains 5.8S ribosomal RNA, internal transcribed spacer 2, and large subunit ribosomal RNA". The record is from RNAcentral.